Molecule: non-coding RNA, 6205 nt
Organism: Malus domestica (apple)
Lineage: Eukaryota; Viridiplantae; Streptophyta; Magnoliopsida; Rosales; Rosaceae
Source: RefSeq, a predicted model, not a curated record
UUUCUUCCGUUGCUUUUUCCUUUCGCCUGCUCUCUGUUUUUCUGCUUUUCUCCCUGUUCGAUCUUCGUGUUUCCUUGCUUCUCUGUUUGUGUUCAUCGUCUGCCGUCUGAAAAGGUGGUUUUUCUGGCUGAUUGCGGUGUUUCAGGCUAUGUUGGAGCAAAAACUGUGCAGGCAAAGACAUAAGAGUGAUGGAUUUUGGAAUGAAAUGCAGAGGAUAUCCUUUUGCGCUGCUUAAAGAAGAGCUCAACAUGAGGGUGCAAGAGAGCUAUUGGUACAAUAAAGAAAGGAAAAGUUGUACGCCACUACAGCACUACGCUGGGUGCUAGCCAACAUGAUAACAGUACUUACAAGAUAACAAUAACAAUAUAAAAAUGAUUAAGUGAAGGAAUGGUGAGGAUUGGAAGGCAGAUGAGUGUACAAGUGAGAGGAAGAUUGAAGAAGAAAGCAGUAAAAUGCAGUUGGGUCCUUAAUGCACUCCUAAAGAAUAGAUUGAGAAGUUUAAGGAUGUUGAGAGUUUGAGAAAUGCUGGAGAUUAAUUUCAAUUUGAAAAAAUCUCUGCUGCAUCUCGGUUCCUACAGUAAUUUUAGCUGCUGAAGUAGCUUUCAGCUGUCAAGGUUACUAGCAAUUGAGUGUGUUUUUUCCACUCAGCGUGCAUAAGACAAGUCAAAAGUGAUACUUCUGCUGAAAACUUAUCUGCAAAGUAAAUUUUGCUUCCGUGGUUGCAUGGUGCAUUGAUGCAUAAUUGUGCAACUCUAUUAUAAAAGAAAAAAUUGAUAUGGUGCUAAACUAUCAUACAACAUCCUAACCGUACAGGAAACGAAAAAAAUAGCUAAUUCAGCAAGGAGCUUACAGCGUUGACAAAUACGUUUUCAAGCAAUGAAGACAUGAACAUUCAAAGCUAUGUAAAAUUAAUUAAUACUUUAUUAAUUUUUUUUAUUGACGUUUUACAUUUAAUUACAAUUUUUGUCAAGCUUUCUCUUUAGGGGAUUUAGCUAUUACUAAUAUAUAUACAAAUUAUCUUUUCACAUGAUCUAAAUACAUGGCAAAUUACCUGCUUGCAUAUUGAAGGGUUAAAUUGGAUAUCCAAAAGUAUAAAAGUAGACAUUUGUACUAGAGAUAUACCCUCUCCUCAUAUUUUAAUCUAAUAUGUUCUUUCACAAAUUUAGAAAAUAUGGACGAGGUUUAUCUUUAGUGGUACGAUGUCUAUAUAAAUUGGUAAUAGUUAAUUCCUCUGAAGAGAAGACGGAAAUGAUGAUUUUUACUCCAGAUAAUCAAAACUGAGUUUACCAAUUUACAUAAAUCUGAUCCAUCUUUGUUGUACUAAAUUGCAACAAACUUAUCUUUUCUAAGACGUUAUCCAAAUUCUCAACCCAGGUAUGUAUCCAAUUUCACUUACUCUUUAUAUCUCAAUGCAUUUGUUUGUAUAAAUUAAUAUAACGUUAGUCAAAACUGAACAAUUUACAAAUUAUGCUCAAUCUAUUUUUAAUAAUUUUUUAGUUGUUAUUACCUACAAACUUUCUUAUUCCGCAGCAACGCGCGGGCACCACUUCUUAGUUUUAUAUAUACUAAAACUCAGUUGAGUUUUAGCACUGUUCAGAAAUAGUAAAAGGGCGGAAAUGCCCUUGAUUUGUUUGGGGUUUAGGUGCUGCUGAAUUGCUUUGUACAGUUAAAUGUCAUUUUUGCCCCCACUAGGUGGGCUGUCUUCAGCUGCCUGAAAAGUCCUACGCCUUUUUUAUCUCGCCUGUUGAGGGAUUUGGUUUAUUUUCUCGCCGUUCUCAUCAAUUUUCUACCUAACUCAAACUGCUCUCUCAUCUUUUCAUCUCUCCCAAAUUAUCUGUGCGAAAUCAGUGAGCCUGUUUUUGGUUGCUGGAAAAAAGUUUGGUUGCUACAAAUUUCUUGCGUUCGAAAUCCCUCAAUCGCUACGAAUUUUGUUCCUUUUUUGGAUUUAUCAGAAUCAAUUUUUUGGGUCAGAGGUCUACAGUUCCUGGUAUUUUGAUUUUGGGGUCUUUAACUAAUACACAAUUUGCUCUGAGGUAGAAGGAAAAGAAAGUCAAGUAUACGAAUGAGUUAGAAAGUUAGGUGUGACUAUUUUGAAGCACCUGUGAUGCUGCUGUUAUAUUUUGGGCUGAUGCUUGGGUUAUUAAGAAUUUUGCCUCGGUAGCAAAAUAUCUAUCUGCCCAAAUUAUGGGACACGGGAUAUAUUUUCUUCUGCAGCCAUAAAAUCUGUAAACAGAUUUUCAAGUUUACAAGGAGGUUGCAGUGUUGAGUUUGGUUACACAGAUAACGCUGCAGUAUACCAUACAAAGGUUUUUUUUCUUUCCUUUUGCCCCAUUUUUGGGAUAUUGGUUACAAAAUCCAUUUUUAGCAUAGGUGUGAAAUUUACAGUAGGGGUUAGUAAGUUAAUUAGUUAAUUUCAUUCUCAAUGUGCACAAAUGUUGUUCUUGCAUUAAUUCAUUUUCUUUGUAUCAAAAUUGAAUAAAUCUAAUUCUCCUUGAUAUCCGCUCAUUCUGCUAAGAUAUUUAUGUUGUUUCUCUCAUGCUCUAUCACAAUAUAUCAGUUACUUUAAUAAAUUUAGUUCUAAACGUUUUCUUAACAUAGAUGAUCUUACAAAAAUCAGUGAUGUACUCAUCUAAUUUUUAAUUUUUAAGUCUUUUUAAUGACUAGUUUGGUAUUUAGGCAGCUUUGAUCUUUGAUUUUAAAUAUGAGAUUUUGUCUAAUUCUUUCUGAUCCUCAGUUUCUAUUGUCAUUUACGGUUUAAUGGACAUUCUUGAAUCACAUUGGUUAACACCAAACAAAUGGUAUGUGUCAUAUUUCUCUUUUUCUAUUCCUUUACUUUCAUACAGAGUUUUGUUUGAAUGCCAUCAUUUUCACAGCCUCUUAUACACAUUUGAUUCAAACUUCAUCGUUCUUUAAAUAUCUGUAUAUAUUAUGCUCACACGUUUUGUAAUCCCGCAGUAACGCGCGGGCACUAUUUCUAGUUAUAUGCUAAAACUGGGUUGGGAACGGCACUGUUCAUUAAUAGUGCCGGGACGGAAAUGCCCUCGCUUCUCUGCUUUGUUUCCGUUUGUCUCGCUUGCUUGGUGCGCCGAAGAGACCUUUUUGCCCCUGUUUUCCACGCGUCGGCCAUCCUUAUUCCCUCGACUUCGAGAGUCUUCCUAGCCGCUUAGGUUGUUGUUCCUUCCGUGCCUUUCCUAAUUUGCGGUCUUCCCUUUUCGUUUUGCUGUUGUUUUUUCGAAUCCUCUGAUUUUCUCUGGUGUUCUGUUCUCUGUUUCGUGGAAAGAGUUCUUGAUUUUCGUUUUUUAAGGGAUUUUCUUUGUGGUUUGUGCUUGCGGGGCUUUUUUGUGGAAACUAAUGAUUGUCUUUCAGUUUUUAUUUUGGAUUUUUUGUUCGUUUCGAUGAAACCCUAAUGAUUUCGUUUUGUUAACAGUUGUGGUGCUCUCUUGGGGUUUCUAUACGCGUUGGUCAUCUGGAAGGGAAAGAAGCUGGAAAAUCUAGGCAACUGAGGAGUCUCUCUCAUUCCACUCUAUCUAAUUCCACUUUCUUUAAAAUCCCAAAAAUGGCUCUCCAAGACUGGAACUGGAAGUAUGAGGGUGAUCUAAUUUUUUUGGCUGUUCAUCAAGAGCAGCGGCAUGAGUCAUAUCCUCAUAUAAACAACAAGUGGAAGGUUUACAGGACAUUAACCAAUUAGUUGAGCUAUUAGUUCCUUUACUUUGUGAUGUCCCUGGUGUGAGUGAAAAAAAAUUGUUCAGAUUUUGUCUCUGUAAUCGCACUGUCUGAUAUCGUUCUUCUUCACUUUCAAGCAGCACCGGUGUUUAUUGAAGUUUUCUACAGCCAAAUUAGAAUCAAUCUAAAAGAACUGCAUCUAUUCGCCGUCUUCAAGUUUGACCCGAGUACCUCCAGAAAAUAUCUAUGCAUGGACCACUAUUAUAACCCAUUCUCAACUGAUGAACUUCAAACUAUGAAGAUUUUUCAUUAUAUGAAGAAAAUAGAUAGAUGCUCCGCCCAUUUUGCGGAAAAAAGGUAUACAACAGUGCAGCACCGCAGCAACGCGCGGGCAGCCUAGCUAGUAGAUUAUUAAAACGGAAUUGGAUCCACUCCGGACCCGCCUCACACAAAUCGACGACUCCGAUUUCAUUUCUACACAAAUGUGUGCUUAUACGGUUUAUUACCCGUUGUCAUUUUUUCAAAUCCGUAUAAUCUAGACUAUCGACCCUCGGUACACGCACGCAUUGGUGACCAAAACUUCUUGUUGGCUUUGGCUUUUCUUGCCAACGUUCUUCUUUCCUUUUUUCUUGCUCUGGCUUUUGCUUUCUUGACUGUUAUGCCCUAAUUGGGUGCUAGGGUUGUUUCCCUGGCUUAUCUUUCCCCUCCUGUGUACUAUGUGGCCUUUCUUGCAUACUUCGUUCAUGAUUACACUUUGUUGAACUUUAGUUGUCUAGUCACCAUAUAAUUGAUCCAGUGCACUCGUGAACACAACAGGGAGAUAGCUUUUCCUACGUAGGGAUAGCAAACCAUUGGUUUGGUCCUUACACAAUUUGAACAUGUUAACAUAAAACUUCAACCCCAUCUCGGAAUCCCAAAAAGGAUGUCUAAAAAGGAUGUCUGAUCAUGAAUAAAGAGUGGUCCUCUUCUAACAUUAAACCCCUCCCAAGUUUAGUUAUGGAAAUAAACGCAUGAUAUCUUUUGAGGCAUGUCAAGAGAGAAGGAUCUUUGACCCUCCUAAUUAAUUGGAGGACAAGAACUUCAAUGUAGCUAAAGUUGAUUAAUCUGUUUGCAGAUGCAAUUUUAAAGAGAUAAACUUGGAGGUGAGUAGAUACGCAUAUGCCAUCCCUUAAAUUUCCAUGCCAAAUUUUUUGACUUUGCAUGUACUGCAACAAUAGUCCCAAACUCCUGAAGGAUUUGUUAUAAAUAGUUAAAUAAAAUGAUGAUAGAUGCAUUUCACUAGAUAAUCUCUAUGUAGCAUACCUUAAAUUUUAUUGGAAAGCUUUCCAAUUACUUGCAUAUAGAAAUGUGUUUGGAGUUGGACAUGUCAUAUGCUACACAGAGAUUUUCUAGUGAAAUGCAUCUAUCAUCAUUUUACUAAACUAUUUAUAACAAAUCCUUUAGGAGCUUGGGACUAUUGUAAUAGUCAAAAAAUUUAAUUUGGCAUGGAAAUUUAAGGGAUGAUAUCUGCAUAUCUACUCACCUCCAAGUUUAUCUCUUUAAAAUUGCAUAUGCAAACAGAUUAAGUGACUUUAGCUACAUUGAAGCUCUUGUCCUCCAAUUAAUUGGGAGGGUCAAAGAUCCUUCUCUCUUGACACGCCUCAAAAGAGAUCAUGCGUUUAUUUCCAUAAAUAAACUGGGAGGGGUUUAAUGUCAGUAGAUGACCACUCUCUUUUCAUGAUCAUGCAUCCUUUUUGGGAUUCUGAGAUCGGGUUGAAGUUUUAUGCUAACGUGUUCAGAUUGUGUAAGGACCAAACUAAUAGGUUGCUCUCCCUACAUAGGAAAAGUUAUCUCCCUUUUGUGUUUAUGAGUGCACUGGAUAACUAUACGGCGACUGGACAACUAAAGUUCAAGAAGGUGUAAUCAUUAACGAAGUAUGCAAGAAGGGCCACAUGUUACAUAGGAGGGGAAAGAAAAGCCAGGGAAACAACCUAGCACCCAAUUAGGGCAUAACAGUCAGGGAAGUAAAAGCCAGAGCAAGAAAAAAGGAAAUAAGAACAUUGGCAAGAAAAGCCAAAGCCAACAAGAAGUUAUGGGCAACCAAAGCGUGCGUGUACCGGAGAUCGGUAGUCUAGAUUAUACAUCCCGCUCUUUGCCCACAAUCUGCACAAGGGAAAGAGUGGAAGAAUUGAAUAUGACAAUAGCAAAAGCUAAGUUUGAAGAAGAGAAGAUACCGAAGGAGGUUCAUCAAGUGUUUCUACGAGUUUUUGAAGGGGCAGAUGACGAUGUAUAUGAGGCACUUUACAAAGCCUACCGAUCCGGUUAUAGGCAUCCUCAACACACAUUGAGCAAAAUACUAGAAGAAUAGGAUGUUAGUUGUGGAGAGAUAAAAGUGUAUUCAGCAAUAGACUAAAACUUAGCAAAAUAGAGAAAACUAGAAAACACACAAGACUUAUACUGGCUUGUCAAAACUUUUGCCCAAGUCCAAUUGUGAUUUUCCUAGGUAGAGAAAUCUCGACUUCUUCAAUUAAUAAUAGAGUAUAUAGUACUUAUCUCUCUCUUC